GGAUUGUGGCUCAGUGGUAGAGCGCUCGCCUUAAAUGUGAGAGACCCUGGGUUCGAUCCUCAGCACCA
This 68-nucleotide transfer RNA is filed under the name Marmota monax (woodchuck). RNAcentral describes it as "tRNA.Leu". The stretch from base 5 to 65 matches the Rfam family "tRNA", at positions 6 to 65 of the family's 71-position model. Rfam says of the family: Transfer RNA (tRNA) molecules are approximately 80 nucleotides in length. Their secondary structure includes four short double-helical elements and three loops (D, anti-codon, and T loops). Lineage: Eukaryota; Metazoa; Chordata; Mammalia; Rodentia; Sciuridae. The record is from RNAcentral.